Molecule: ribosomal RNA, 253 nt
Filed under: uncultured bacterium
Lineage: Bacteria
Description: partial 16S ribosomal RNA
Rfam family: Bacterial small subunit ribosomal RNA
Source: RNAcentral
UACGUAGGGUGCAGGCGUUAAUCGGAAUUACUGGGCGUAAAGCGUGCGCAGGCGGUUAUGUAAGACAGUUGUGAAAUCCCCGGGCUCAACCUGGGAACUGCCUUUGUGACUGCAUAGCUAGAGUACGGUAGAGGGGGAUGGAAUUCCGCGUGUAGCAGUGAAAUGCGUAGAUAUGCGGAGGAACACCGAUGGCGAAGGCAAUCCCCUGGACCUGUACUGACGCUCAUGCACGAAAGCGUGGGGAGCAAACAGG